CACGAAGUCAGACCCAUCGUGGGUGCAGGUCACAGCUUGCAAGCAAGCAAGCUCCACUAGCAGAACAGAACUGUUGGGUGUGGCUGAGGGGAAUCUAGAACACAGGCAGAGGAGGGAGAGUAUAAAUAUCAACUAACGCUCAGCACCAAAUGCAGAAGUGGUGAACGCUGCUUGGUCUACCAUCCUCUUGCGAUGUGGCAUUGGUCAGAAUUUAGUCAUGUGGACAUACCAAACUGCAAAUGAGGCUGGGAAAUGAAUUGUAGCUACAUGCCCAGGAGGAAGGAGACUUGGCCUGAAUUAUUUCUUGCAGAAGAUCCAAAAACCUUCUGUUGGGGUCUGAAUUGGGACUCCUUUCCUGUAGCAUCUUUCUGGUGACCACUGAAGGGACUAUAGUGCAGAAAACCCCCACCCAAAGGCUAACUUUCGGUAAGUGGUAGGGGCCAGUAACAUCUUUCUGGUGAACUCUGAAGGGACGAUACUGAAGAAACCCUCCCACCCAAAGGAAAUAGACUACAGCACUGAUUGGCCAACUUUGGG
Molecule: long non-coding RNA, 537 nt
Filed under: Homo sapiens (human)
Lineage: Eukaryota; Metazoa; Chordata; Mammalia; Primates; Hominidae
Description: HSALNT0115365
Source: RNAcentral